GCCAGCAACAAUACGUUGAAUAGGUACACCGGUUCACAAUAGAUCACUGAAGUUAAGGAACGAAGCGCGUGGUUAGAAUCCGGAUGGGUGAAGAUUUGGGCUAUCGCGUGAUGCUGGCU
RNAcentral lists this ribosomal RNA (119 nucleotides) under Diaphorina citri (Asian citrus psyllid). Lineage: Eukaryota; Metazoa; Arthropoda; Insecta; Hemiptera; Psyllidae. The record is from RNAcentral.